RNAcentral lists this long non-coding RNA (2766 nucleotides) under Triticum aestivum (bread wheat). Its description in RNAcentral is "long non-coding RNA (TAES_LNC025427)". The record is from RNAcentral. Lineage: Eukaryota; Viridiplantae; Streptophyta; Magnoliopsida; Poales; Poaceae.
CGAGAUCACUAUUAAUUUUAAGAUGCCACAACAAUACAUCCAUCCUCUUCAUAUCAUCAAGACAAAAACAAGAUCACAUAUUUUGCAGCGGAUUAAGAUAACAAUUUCAACUGAUGCUAGGGUUUCUUUAGAAAUACAACAUUACAAACUGUAGGCUCCUUGUAGAGAAAGAUCAGAUAUAUUGAAGAUAAAUCCACCAAAUAGGACUACCCAACAGAUUACAAAUAGUGCAAUCAUGUCCAGCAAUGACUUCACUAUCCAUGUCAUUGUUGUUAGUGGGCACGACAAAAUAUCCGGUGGAGCCUCUGUCUCCCGUGCACCACACAGUCUCCGGUGGUUCCCAGCUAAGCUAGGCUCGCCCGAAUCACAAUUUGGCAGACGACAUUGUUAUAUCAUCAGUAAUGUUUGAAUUAGAAUUUGGGAUACCCGUCGUGCAAACAGAAUAAUCAGCUUCUCUGUUUCUAUAAACAAAAAGUAAACACACUCCAUCAGCGUGUAACUGCAACUAUCAACACCAGGCCAUAAAUUUCUUAGAUUUUGAAUCCAGAUUGAACUAUAGAUUUAUUAGCAAAAAAGACUGCAUCUGAAAAAACAAAUAUUGUACCAGAACAUGCAUUUGUAGAACUUGAUACCAUGGAAAUAAAGUAUGGUGCAAUGGAAAUAAUAAUAAACUUGAUCAAGAAAUUUUCUGAUUAGCAUGGUACUUGCAAGGUAUUAUGACUGGACCACUACUAAACGACUACUGAAACAUAUAUAUGUUUAUAGCUCCACAUUCAAUGCGAAAAUAUGAAGAUUGUUAGCAAAUCCAUUGAGAGUAGCAUUGGUGCAUAUGCAAAUCAUCAUACUAAUUAGAAGAGCAUACCCUGCGGCCUGCGCCUCCUCGGUCACUACAUCGAGCCCAGUCUUCUUGGCAGUCGCCUUGGACUUGGCAGCAUGCAGCCCCUGCCUCUGGUGUGUCCAUGUUGUUUGCGACAAUUCUCCAGUCCAUGGUGCCAAUCCUUGUGAACUGCCAAGUUUCAGUACCAGUGCAAAAGAAGAGUAACUAUUCAAAUCAACCUAGUGCAAGCUGCUACCUGGCACUUGCAGCUGCCAUUCAAAAAAAUGUGUGUGACAAGAUGGUUUUAUAAGAACUUAUGCAAUUUCCCUAUGAAAGCUCUAAUGCAAACACAUUAAUUACACAUAUCUCAUACAAUCAUGGUUGCCAUCUUGAAAACAAGAUCUCGCACAUGGACUGACAUAUUUUAAACACAGUAUUACAAUCUCCAUCACAACAGUUCAGAGAUGAAUGUAGGCAUAGAAAAGUAACUGAAAAUUUCUAAAACUCAUAUCUGACGAAACUCGAUAGUCAAAACUUUUCACCAACAGAAUAUAUACAUGGAUCAGUGUGCAACGCAUGUAAUAAUUAAACACAAGGCAAAAGGACUAUAUAACAGAAAACCUGGCGCAUUUCAUUCUGCUACUGCUACUGAAUAUCAAGGUGUUUUCAGAUAUCAAGGUAGGCCUCUGCUAUUUCUAGGGCGUUCACAUCCCCUAGCGCAUUUCUACUGCUACUGCUACUGUAUAUCUGAAAACUUUUCACCAACAGAAUAUAUACAUGUUCUCACUACUGCUACUGAAUAUCAAGGCAUUUUUCAUACUGCAUUUUUCCAGGCUUCAGCUUACAUUCUUUUUCCUAAUACAUUUUCAGAUUAGGCUCACCCAUUACCAUACAACUUUUAGAACGAAUAAAUCAUAUAUUACACAUAAACUGCUGAGAGAAAAAUAGAAUAAGGGAAAGAACCUUGAACCACCGACACACACAACUUCCAACAUAGAACCUCUGGUGAAGUUGCAACAUUUGCAUCUCUUCAAGCGGCAGUCCCCCAUGCUAAGUCUCUGCUUCUAAGCUAAUCAGUAAAACAACACCAACAAUCAAUUAUUCGGUUUAUUAAAUCUACAUGCUAUUUGAGCCAUUGUAAUCUUUACUCACAUGCAUUUGUUAGAAAAUUAGGGGCAUCCUGAAGCAAACAAACAAAUUAAGAGAAGACCAAAACAAAGGAGAAACACGGUUAACAACGGCCUGAAGUUCUAUUUUUGUCAUACCGUAAUACAUAAGAAUAUGUGACUAAAACAUUUCUAAACAGAGGACCGACAGACAUGGCAUAUUUAAUACCAUGGAGGCUUAAAUUGUGUGUGACCUAUGUGGUUGUGAAUUUCGUCAAAUUCCAAUGAAAGGGCUUCGGAGACUACCUUGUAAGUUCUUCUACAGCAUAAAUCUCUUUGCAUCAUUCGAUUCUUACUUUGCAAACAGCAGUAGCCAUUAUAUGAGGGCUAUAGUAUGUUUGAUUGACACAUCAUGUGCACCAAUGUGUAAACCUGAGUUCAACACCUGCCAUCACAUUCAGUUAUUCACUUUCUCUUCUUAGAAGCCCCAAACUGAUUAAAAACAGGAAAAAUGAUAAUACAUCAGGAAAUAUAAAAUGCAUAGCAACAACAAGCAGGAGCACAUUUAGGCUGCAGUACAGCCUAAAAAUUGCCGACCAAAUUUAAGCACGGUAAAAUAGUUAUAAGCAGAUCCAUGACAUAUAUAUUCUUACCGAAUUGGUGGCCUAUCUCCAAGUAUUUCAUUCCUCAUUCUAGAAAUUUGUCAAGAGCACUACUGGACAAACUGAAGUUGCACCGGAGGCAAGACAAAGAUCAGAAGAUAUAUGUUGCUUCCCUGGGUGAAUGUCCAGAUUCAAUUCGCUCGCCGUCCGCCGCUGCAUGUCCUCCACAUGAAAUUAGCAG